This 361-nucleotide ribosomal RNA is filed under the name uncultured fungus. Its description in RNAcentral is "LSU rRNA". Lineage: Eukaryota; Fungi. The record is from RNAcentral.
ACGAUUGAAGCCAGUCGUACCUUCGGGUAAUCAGCCUUUUGGGCAUGAUUCUGUGGAGUGUGAGGAGUUAAACGCCUUCAUGCCUGCAUAUUCGUGUACUUUGGGUGUACUUGCCUGUGUGGUUAGUUAACAUCAAUUUUGGUUAUCAUAAAAUGGCUGGAGGAAUGUAGCUUCGAUUUCGAUUGAAGUGUUAUAGCCUUCGGCAGAUGUGAUGAUCGGGAUUGAGGAUUGCAACGGAUACCCUUCGGGGCUACCUGUCUGAUCUCUGAUCGUUGCUUUGGUGCCGAAAGCGUGCUUACGGUUAUCAAAGUCGAUGGCUAAUAGGUUAGAACGGGUUAAAUUCGUUAAGGAUGUUGACGUA